RNAcentral lists this ribosomal RNA (678 nucleotides) under uncultured crenarchaeote. Its description in RNAcentral is "bacterial SSU rRNA". It matches the Rfam family "Archaeal small subunit ribosomal RNA", at positions 102 to 783 of the family's 1478-position model. Lineage: Archaea; Thermoproteati; Thermoproteota. The record is from RNAcentral.
AGUCAACAUGCCCAGGGGACGUGGAUAACCUCGGGAAACUGAGGAUAAACCGCGAUAGGUCAUCACUUCUGGAAUGGGUAAUGACUUAAACCUAUAUGGCCCCUGGAUUGGACUGCGGCCGAUCAGGCUGUUGGUGAGGUAAUGGCCCACCAAACCUGUAACCGGUACGGGCUCUGAGAGGAGGAGCCCGGAGAUGGGCACUGAGACAAGGGCCCAGGCCCUAUGGGGCGCAGCAGGCGCGAAACCUCUGCAAUAGGCGAAAGCUUGACAGGGUUACUCUGAGUGAUUUCCGUUAAGGAGAUCUUUUGGCACCUCUAAAAAUGGUGCAGAAUAAGGGGUGGGCAAGUCUGGUGUCAGCCGCCGCGGUAAUACCAGCACCCCGGGUGGUCGGGACGUUUAUUGGGCCUAAAGCAUCCGUAGCCGGUUCUACAAGUCUUCCGUUAAAUCCACCUGCUUAACAGAUGGGCUGCGGAAGAUACUAUAGAGCUAGGAGGCGGGAGAGGCAAGCGGUACUCGAUGGGUAGGGGUAAAAUCCGUUGAUCCAUUGAAGACCACCAGUGGCGAAGGCGGCUUGCCAGAACGCGCUCGACGGUGAGGGAUGAAAGCUGGGGGAGCAAACCGGAUUAGAUACCCGGGUAGUCCCAGCUGUAAACGAUGCAGACUCGGUGAUGAGUUGGC